GAUGAACGCUGGCGGCGUGCCUAAUACAUGCAAGUCGAGCGAACGGACGAGAAGCUUGCUUCUCUGAUGUUAGCGGCGGACGGGUGAGUAACACGUGGAUAACCUACCUAUAAGACUGGGAUAACUUCGGGAAACCGGAGCUAAUACCGGAUAAUAUUUUGAACCGCAUGGUUCAAAAGUGAAAGGCGGUCUUGCUGUCACUUAUAGAUGGAUCCGCGCUGCAUUAGCUAGUUGGUAAGGUAACGGCUUACCAAGGCAACGAUGCAUAGCCGACCUGAGAGGGUGAUCGGCCACGCUGGAACUGAGACACGGUCCAGACUCCUACGGGAGGCAGCAGUAGGGAAUCUUCCGCAAUGGGCGAAAGCCUGACGGAGCAACGCCGCGUGAGUGAUGAAGGUCUUCGGAUCGUAAAACUCUGUUAUUAGGGAAGAACAUAUGUGUAAGUAACUGUGCACAUCUUGACGGUACCUAAUCAGAAAGCCACGGCUAACUACGUG
RNAcentral lists this ribosomal RNA (497 nucleotides) under uncultured bacterium. Its description in RNAcentral is "partial 16S ribosomal RNA". It matches the Rfam family "Bacterial small subunit ribosomal RNA", at positions 28 to 507 of the family's 1533-position model. The record is from RNAcentral.